Molecule: transfer RNA, 101 nt
Filed under: Aspergillus luchuensis IFO 4308
Lineage: Eukaryota; Fungi; Ascomycota; Eurotiomycetes; Eurotiales; Aspergillaceae
Description: Aspergillus kawachii IFO 4308 tRNA-Val
Source: RNAcentral
AGUCGCGUGGUCUAAUGGUUAUGAUUUCUCGUUCACAUUCGUCAAUUCUUUCAUUUGAUGAGGUUCCGAGAAGGUUCCCGGUUCGAUCCCGGGCGCGACUU